CAGUUACCGAUAUAGGAGACAGCAGAGUCCAUGUCUCUGAUAGCUCAUCAUUCGCGAAUUAAAAGUCAUUUCUUGAUCAGCGUUCAUGAAAUCAUGGAUUCAUGAUUAUGUCUUAUGAAGUAAGUUCACGAAAUAAACUUUUCACAAAAUCAGAUCUAUUAAAGUGAUACAGCAUAAAAAUAAUCAACUAUUCCAGGUAAAUUGUGUUUGAAGAUCUUCCUAUGGCUGGUUAAUAUAGCACUUGUAUGUUUUUGGUACCAAAUUAUUUAUUGUCUGUCGAUGAUACUGAAUAUACAUCAUAAUCUAAUUAAUCCAUCUACAAAACAUUACACAUGCUAGUAGUUGUUCAUUUAGAGCCUGUUUACUAUGGGGGGGAACUGGAAUUGGAAGUUUUGAAAGAAGUAUAUGCAUAUUGUGGAAAUUCACAAAAUAUUAUUUAAUUUAUAUUUUCCAGAUGCAAGUUGUUUUAUCAGAAGGACGGUGCUUGGACGGAACGUGGAAUCGGGUUCUUACAUCUCAAAAAACCUGACGACAAAGCACAGCUUGUAAUACGUGCGGAUACAACUUUAGGGAACAUCAUAUUAAAUAUCAACCUAUCGAGCUCACUACCCUUGAAUCGUCAGGGCAAGAACAACGUGAGUUUGAUGUGUGUACCGAACCCUCCCAUCAAUACUAAGGAGGAUCCUAAAGCUACUGCUAUGCUUAUCAGAGUGAAGACUGCGGAGGAUGCCGACACACUUUACGAGAAAAUGAAGGAGCUGAGGAAUUAAUAUCAAUGUAUAUAAAUCUGUCGACAUUAUGAAAUGGACCAUCUAAAGAAUGUCUCAAGCUUUGUGUAUCAGUAAAAAGAGCAAACUUCCCUGGAGAACUGAUUGUUCCUGUGAAUCAAACUAAUACAUACAUUCAAUAAGGGAAUUAAAUUCUUCAAAAAGUGAUGAAAUCAAUUUUUGAUUAUUUUUUUUUCCCCGUCAGAUUUGUAAAUAUUCCAUUUUCGCAUUUCAUUCAUGGUUUGGAAGUCCUGGACUUAAAAUCACAUUCACAAAAGGAUUUGAACAGUUUGUGUUGUACCGAUUAUCAUGCACGUAGAUUCAGUGCAGAGGAGAAUAUUCUUCCUGAUUCAGUUGAAGCAGUUUUAUAUAAGAUCUAUUAUUUUUGUCAAACUUUGAAUUGACAAAUGCAUAUAGUUAGAUCACAUAGUGGACAUCUCAAUAUACCGUUGAUUGAAAUAUCAAUUCAGAGUUUUUGGUCCAGUGAUCCUGGAAAUUAGGGAUGCUGGAAAUCUGGACUUUUAUUUAAAGUUUUGUGUUUAGCACAGUGUCUGAGAAUAUAUCAAAGUUAUUCCAACCAAACAUUGAAUAUAGUUGCAUUGUAAUAGGGACAUUUCAACACACCCUUCAAAUUGCGUGAAUAUUCACUUUUAGUGGUAUUGUUUUGGGUAAACUUCAGAUUUUGAAAAGUUGAUGUAAAAUAAUUUUUUGCAACUCUAAUUGAUUCUCAAAUUGGAAUGAGUUCUGUAAUGUAUCAGAUGUAUUUUUUCUUACUUAUUAGAAAGAGUGAUUUUUGGUGUAAAAUGUCCUAUUAAGGUGAAUUUUGAGACUACCCGGAAAGUGAUUUUGCUAAAUUUGAUAUUUAUUUUGCAAUGCAUCAAUAUUUACACAUGGCUAUAACAUAUGCAGGGUGCUUCCAUACUAUCAAGAAGAUUUUUUUUUUUUUUUUUUUUGUAAAAAUGCUGGAACUUUUUUAAUAUUGGAGUUAUUUUAAGCUUAACUUAUAUAAUUACUUUAUUAAAAAAGUGGGAAAGGGCGUGACACAUAAUUUGUUGUAUUUCUUGUUUAUAUUUUUGUUUAUACUUGCAUUAUAAUCAUGUAAGUCUGUAGCUCUAGGCCCACCCUUCAUUAGUACCGUAAUGAUCCACAAUAUCCCCAUGUCUGGUAAUAAGCCCACCCUUCUUUAGUACCGUAAUGAUCCACAAAAAACCCAUGUAUGGUAAUAAGCCCAUCCUUCAUUAGUACCGUAAUGAUCCACAAUAACCCCAUGCCUGGUAAUAAGCCCAUCCUUCAUUAGUACCGUAAUGAUCCACAAUAACCCCAUGCCUGGUAAUAAGCCCAUCCUUCAUUAGUACCGUAAUGAUCCACAAUAACCCCAUGCCUGGUAAUAAGCCCAUCCUUCAUUAGUACCGUAAUGGUCCACAAUAACCCCAUGCCUGGUAAUAAGCCCGCCCAUCUAUCAUGCAGUAAAAGUUCUGUCAAAUGUUAAUUUAUAUUUCCCCUGCACUCAUUUAUGGAAUAAAUACGUUACUCUACAAGUCAUUGUUAAAAUAAGAAGUGCUGGUAUUAUUAGAAUUAUGAGCAUUCAACUACAUUAUUAAAAAUACAUAUUACUGGGUACAUCGUAGGAAUGGUUAACCUCCAAUCAGUUCAAAUCGCCAGAUAGUUUGAACAUUUUUCCAAUAAAAACAACUGUUUUCUAGCUAGUGGUAGUUAAAAUCUCAAAAAUAUUUAUUUUACAACAACUGUGAGAUAAGUUAUACCAACAUUUAGUAAUACUUUUGUUGGCCUAGAUGGAAGUGUACGAGGGUUUUUACUGUGGGUGGAAACUGGUGUACCCGGAGUCUGGCAGUAGAAAACUAAGUGGUCAGGCAGGUGACCCAAUGUAUCUAUUCAGAUUGGGGAAUCGAACCCCGGCCACCUAGUUGAAGGGCAAGUGUGUUACCACUGUACCGCCCGACCACCCAGAUAGAUGCAGAGAUUAAACCAGAGAAAAUAUUCAACAAAAUCUGUGUAUUUGAACGUCUGUGAUCCCUCAGUUUAACGCUAUGAAAGAAUUCUGGUUGAGUUUUACCAAUAUUAUCAAUUAACACAAAAUCUGCAUAUCUUUAUACUGGAUUAUGAUUUGUUAAUACAUUCUAAGCAAAAUAACUUUUUAACAGGCAUCAGUUGUUUUGGAGUAUGUCGGAAAAGAAUUUGAAGAUUAUCAACGCAUUAUACAGCGAGACACGUCACAAUAACAGAAGAUACUAAAUACUAAACCUGCCCUAUCUCAUUUUUUAGCUCAAAUCUUCGAAGAAGAGAGAGCUGAUCACCCUGUCAUCUCCGUUAAUUUCAUGUCUUGAUGCCAGUUUUAACAUGGCAUCCUAGUAGCAUGUCAUAUUUGUCAUAUGUUGCAAAUAUUUUAGUUAUCAUUUUGGGCAAGAUUUCUAUUUGGAGGACUUUUUUUACUCAAGAUUUUUGCUUAAAAUUUCAUUUGAUAUUUAAAUAUUGUAUAAUAUCAUUUAGAAAUCUUUGAAACUCAGAAAUUCUCCUGUACCAUUCAUCAAUCAUGUCAAUGCUUUUUUUUUCUGAUAUGUUGUUCCAUUAUUACAUUUUCAGUUUUGUACCAGAUGUUGAUUGGUCUGCAUCAGAUGAUGUGUUAUUCCAUUUAUCAUCGAAUUUCACUCUGCGACAGGGAUAAAUCAUUGUAUUUUGUAUGCUAGUAAUUUCAGUCAAUCAGAUUUGAGGGACUUGUUCUGUCAAGUUGUGCAAGAGUACAAUACAAUGUUUUAUCAUGUAUAUGGUGUUUAUGUCGUCAUGAUUAUUAUCGAAUAACAUACAUACAUGCAAAAUGCAGUUUAACUGGCAUGGAAUCAUAUCAUUAGCACUCUGGUUUUGAUAUCGGAAUGUUAUAAAAUAGCUACAACACUUCGUUUCUAUCGAUACAAAGAUUUAUGGAGCAAAAAUAAAAAGUGCCGAUAUUGAAUAAUA
Molecule: long non-coding RNA, 3740 nt
Organism: Pecten maximus
Lineage: Eukaryota; Metazoa; Mollusca; Bivalvia; Pectinida; Pectinidae
Exons: 2
Source: RefSeq, a predicted model, not a curated record